AGAGUUCUCUUUUCUUUGUGAAGGGCAGGGCUCCCUGGAAUGGGUUCGCCCCUAGAUAGGGGCCCGUGCUCUGGAAAGCGCCGCGGCUCUGGCGGCGUCCGGUGAGCUCUCGUCGGUCCUUGAAAAUCCGGGGGAGACGGUGUAAAUCUCGCGCCAGGCCGUACCCAUAUCCGCAGCAGGUCUCCAAGGUGAACAGCCUCUGGCAUGAUAGAUGAA
RNAcentral lists this ribosomal RNA (216 nucleotides) under Elassoma evergladei (Everglades pygmy sunfish). Its description in RNAcentral is "partial 28S ribosomal RNA". It matches the Rfam family "Eukaryotic large subunit ribosomal RNA", at positions 1686 to 1898 of the family's 3401-position model. Lineage: Eukaryota; Metazoa; Chordata; Actinopteri; Centrarchiformes; Elassomatidae. The record is from RNAcentral.